GAGAUACUAGUAAAAUAUUACAUUGCCUUGUCAAGGCAAAAUUGCAAGUUAGACCCUUGCGUGUCUUU
This 68-nucleotide transfer RNA is filed under the name Micralestes sp. NM-2010. Its description in RNAcentral is "tRNA-Asp". It matches the Rfam family "tRNA". Rfam says of the family: Transfer RNA (tRNA) molecules are approximately 80 nucleotides in length. Their secondary structure includes four short double-helical elements and three loops (D, anti-codon, and T loops). Further hydrogen bonds mediate the characteristic L-shaped molecular structure. tRNAs have two regions of fundamental functional importance: the anti-codon, which is responsible for specific mRNA codon recognition, and the 3' end, to which the tRNAs corresponding amino acid is attached (by aminoacyl-tRNA synthetases). tRNAs cope with the degeneracy of the genetic code in two manners: having more than one tRNA (with a specific anti-codon) for a particular amino acid; and 'wobble' base-pairing, i.e. permitting non-standard base-pairing at the 3rd anti-codon position. The record is from RNAcentral. Lineage: Eukaryota; Metazoa; Chordata; Actinopteri; Characiformes; Alestidae.